RNAcentral lists this long non-coding RNA (1317 nucleotides) under Felis catus (domestic cat). RNAcentral's name for it is "lncRNA (ENSFCAG00000053128.1)". Lineage: Eukaryota; Metazoa; Chordata; Mammalia; Carnivora; Felidae. The record is from RNAcentral.
CUGAAUACCCGCCCCCCCAGAGCUUAUACAACAGUGUCUACCACAUAGUAAGGGCCUGCUAGAUAUGUAUUGGCUAAUGAAUGAUGAAUAGAAAUUUCAAAUGAAAGAUCCUCUCCUUCAUUUACUAUAUUUGGAGUGAUUGGCUAAGAUGAUUUAAAAAAAAGAAUUUGAAUUUUGAGGUCAGAUGACUUGAUUUUAAACUCUGAACAAACCACUUCAGCUAAAUGUUUAUAUAAAAAUCACUUGACCUCCCUGAGCCCCUACUUUCAGAGGUGGUAACAAUUAGCUGACACAUAUGUAAGGCUGCAUCAUAAUGCUUCAUGACAGAUGCUCAGGAGAGGUUAGUUCUCUGUCUGCCACCUUCCCUCUCAAAAGCUAGUUACCUAUCUAGUGACAGACACAAUAAGAUUUCUGGGACUUAGAAAAGAAAGGGAACAGGAAAGAUAAAUCGUGGGGAAGUCUAGGAAGUUUUCUAGGAAGAGAUAACCUUAAACUGGAUCCAGAAUGGUGGGAGGACGUCAACAUCCUGAGAGGCAGGGUGAGGAUGAUGUCAUGGGAGUGAGGCACAGAGCAAGAACUGGAGCACAGGCAACCACUUUGGCAGGAGCAGGGGGCUGUAAUCAUUACACUCCAAGGACAAGUGACUUGUGCACUAGUGGAUGACUUGGUUGCCGGCCUAGUGUUAUUUGGAAAACAUUAAAAAGGAAAAACUGGCCUAUUAGUUUUCUUCAUCUUCCUGGUUCCUGGUAUUCCACCAUUACCCAUUGUUCUUUUUUUAAAUGUGAAUAUUCUUGAAAGCACAAAAAUUUACACCCUAUAACACUCCCUUGAGGAUCAAUAGAUUUCUCUUUGCCUCAGGUGGAGAAAUUCAGGCUUCAUAAGGGGGAAUGAGUUUCUGGAAAGGACCCUAGGAUGGAAACCAGUGGUAGAAGGAGGCAAAAUAAGGUGCUGGAUGCAACAAUUACACAAACUCUGUCUAUAAUUUUCACAAAAGCUUUGGAAGGUUCAUUUUAUUUGCAUUUACCAGAGUAAAUAAUGUUUGAAAGGUUCCAAACCAAAAUCUGUCUUCCUCAAAACCCAUGUUCUUUUUCCCCUCCAUGGCAAGCUACUAUUAGAAGGAGAUCAAUACACAGAGAGUGACUGGAAUGGAGACUUAAUAAUCAACAAUGCCAUUCCCUAUAAAACAAGAUGUUUUUUUAUUUGUCUGAAGUCACAUAAGCAACAUAUCAUGAGUAACUGAACACUUGACUGCUCAUAAAAUUCUUGAGAGCUCCAUGGAAAUAGAAAAGAAUACAGCAUUUUGAUUCAGAAAUAAAC